RNAcentral lists this ribosomal RNA (498 nucleotides) under uncultured bacterium. Its description in RNAcentral is "partial 16S ribosomal RNA". It matches the Rfam family "Bacterial small subunit ribosomal RNA", at positions 28 to 507 of the family's 1533-position model. The record is from RNAcentral.
GACGAACGCCGGCGGCGUGCCUAAUACAUGCAAGUCGAGCGGACGGAUGGGAGCUUGCUCCCAGACCGUCAGCGGCGGACGGGUGAGUAACACGUGGGCAACCUGCCUGUAAGACUGGGAUAACUCCGGGAAACCGGGGCUAAUACCGGAUAACUCUUUCCCUCACAUGAGGGAAAGCUGAAAGAUGGCAUCUCGCUAUCACUUACAGAUGGGCCCGCGGCGCAUUAGCUAGUUGGUGAGGUAACGGCUCACCAAGGCGACGAUGCGUAGCCGACCUGAGAGGGUGAUCGGCCACACUGGGACUGAGACACGGCCCAGACUCCUACGGGAGGCAGCAGUAGGGAAUCUUCCGCAAUGGACGAAAGUCUGACGGAGCAACGCCGCGUGAGUGAUGAAGGUUUUCGGAUCGUAAAACUCUGUUGUCAGGGAAGAACAAGUACCGGAGUAACUGCCGGUACCUUGACGGUACCUGACCAGAAAGCCACGGCUAACUACGUG